This 908-nucleotide long non-coding RNA is filed under the name Androctonus crassicauda. The record is from RNAcentral. Lineage: Eukaryota; Metazoa; Arthropoda; Arachnida; Scorpiones; Buthidae.
UUCUUUUAUAAGUUUUAUUUUAAUUUUGUAUAUUUUAUAUCUCAUCUUAUUAUUUGAUUAUCUUGUAUGCUUUGAAUAAUAAUUGCUAUUGCAAAAAUUUCUGAUUUAUUAUUUAUUUUCAACCAACAUAACAAUGAUUUAUUUCUUAAAAUUAAACGAUGAAAAGUUUGUUUUGAUAUCGAUUGUAAACUCAUCGGGAUUUUAAAUAAGUUAAAAAAAAAAAUCAUGAAAUACAAUAACACAACUUUCCUGGAUUUGUUUUCUCUGGUUAUGGAGAAAUACAAUAACUUUAUUUUUUUAUGUAUUAAAGAAAAAGUAUUUAUUAUUACAACAAAAUUAAAGACAAAAUUGCUAUCCACCAUAUACCACAGACACCAUGUACUACAUGAUGUCUGUCAUUUUAGAUUGCAUUGUUUGGUUUUGGAAUGGUGAAAAUUUUGGAUAUUGUUGUUGUUACAUUUAAGCAAAGCAGCAUUACAUUAUAUCAGGGAUUUGAUAGUAAAAUUGAUUGUUCAUUAUAGUGAAAAUAUGUUAAAUAAGUGUACAUUAAGCAAAUAUACCUGACUUAAAACUUUAUAACAGAAUGUAUUCAAUAUAUUGUGUGUGUUAAAAUGUUUAAGAAAACAUUUUUAUCUGGCUGUAGGAUAUGACAUUCUAUUUUUCUGUAUGUGAUCAAUAAAUGGAUAUUUGAUAGAAUUUACUAUUAAAUAUUUUACAAUUCAAAGUCUUAUUUUACAGAAAAUGAUAUGAAUAUGAUACGAUUUACUAUCAAUAUAAUUAAUAGUGUAUUAUAUAUCUAAUGAGUAUGUCACAUGUUUUUAUUAAUGCAUUUAAGGAAAUAUUUCUUUGUUAAAUUUUUUUGGAAUAAAAUAAAUAAAUUGAAAAAUACGAUAUGUAUUAUAAAAUCA